Molecule: ribosomal RNA, 275 nt
Filed under: uncultured bacterium
Lineage: Bacteria
Description: partial 16S ribosomal RNA
Rfam family: Bacterial small subunit ribosomal RNA
Source: RNAcentral
CCUACGGGUGGCUGCAGUGGGGAAUCUUGCACAAUGGAGGAAACUCUGAUGCAGCGACGCCGCGUGAGUGAUGAAGCCCUUCGGGGUGUAAAGCUCUUUCGACAGGAACGAUAAUGACGGUACCUGAAGAAGAAGCUGCGGCUAACUACGUGCCAGCAGCCGCGGUAAUACGUAGGCAGCAAGCGUUGUUCGGAAUUACUGGGCGUAAAGAGUGUGUAGGCGGUGCUCUAAGUUUGGUGUGAAAUCUCCCGGCUUAACCGGGAGGCUGCAUCGAA